Molecule: ribosomal RNA, 401 nt
Filed under: uncultured bacterium
Lineage: Bacteria
Description: bacterial SSU rRNA
Rfam family: Bacterial small subunit ribosomal RNA
Source: RNAcentral
GGGGAAUUUUGCGCAAUGGGGGCAACCCUGACGCAGCAACGCCGCGUGCGGGAAGAAGGCCUUCGGGUUGUAAACCGCUUUCAGCGGGGACGAUAAUGACGGUACCCGCAGAAGAAGCUCCGGCUAACUACGUGCCAGCAGCCGCGGUAAUACGUAGGGAGCGAGCGUUAUCCGGAUUCAUUGGGCGUAAAGCGCGCGUAGGCGGCUCGGGAAGCGGAACCUCUAACCUUGGGGCUCAACCUCAAGCCGGGUUCCGAACUCCCGGGCUCGAGUCAGGUAGGGGCAGGCGGAAUUCCCGGUGUAGCGGUGAAAUGCGCAGAUAUCGGGAGGAACACCGAUGGCGAAGGCAGCCGGCUGGGCCUAAAGACUGACGCUGAGGUGCGAAAGCGUGGGGAGCGAAC